AUGGCGGCAUCUGAAAAGCCAUUAAAAGAGUAAGAA
This is a non-coding RNA of Chryseobacterium gleum ATCC 35910, 36 nucleotides long. The record is from Rfam. Lineage: Bacteria; Pseudomonadati; Bacteroidota; Flavobacteriia; Flavobacteriales; Weeksellaceae.